CAGUCGCCACGGUAAUACAGAGGGUGCGAGCGUUAAUCGGAUUUACUGGGCGUAAAGCGUGCGUAGGCGGCUUCUUAAGUCGGAUGUGAAAUCCCUGAGCUUAACUUAGGAAUUGCAUACGAUACUGGGAAGCUAGAGUAUGGGAGAGGAUGGUAGAAUUCCAGGUGUAGCGGUGAAAUGCGUAGAGAUCUGGAGGAAUACCGAUGGCGAAGGCAGCCAUCUGGCCUAAUACUGACGCUGAGGUACGAAAGCAUGGGGAGCAAACAGGAUUAGAUACCCCAGUAGUCCCUGUCUCUUAUAC
This 301-nucleotide ribosomal RNA is filed under the name uncultured bacterium. RNAcentral describes it as "partial 16S ribosomal RNA". It matches the Rfam family "Bacterial small subunit ribosomal RNA", at positions 509 to 807 of the family's 1533-position model. The record is from RNAcentral.